Molecule: ribosomal RNA, 476 nt
Filed under: uncultured bacterium
Lineage: Bacteria
Description: bacterial SSU rRNA
Rfam family: Bacterial small subunit ribosomal RNA
Source: RNAcentral
GGUUCAGGAUGAACGCUGGUGGCGUAGCCUAAUACAUGCAAAGUGAAACGGGUAUCUUCGGAUACCAGUCGCGGACGGGUGAGUAAUACAUAGGCAACCUGCCUUUAUGAGGGGGAUAACCGAGGGAAACUUUGGCUAAUACCGCAUGAAGACUCUAAGGCAUCUUAGAGGGAUAAAAGUUGGGAAACAACGCAUGAAGAUGGGCUUAUGGCGCAUUAGCUAGUUGGUGAGAUAGAAGCCCACCAAGGUAAUGAUGCGUAGCCGACCUGAGAGGGUGAACGGCCACAUUGGGACUGAGACACGGUCCAGACUCCUACGGGAGGCAGCAGUGGGGAAUAUUGCACAAUGGGGGAAACCCUUGAUGCAGCAACGCCGCGUGGAGGAUGACGCAUUUCGGUGUGUAAACUCCUUUUAUAAGGGAAGAUAAUGACGGUACCUUAUGAAUAAGCACCGGCUAACUCCGUGCCAGCCGCCGC